This 255-nucleotide ribosomal RNA is filed under the name uncultured bacterium. Its description in RNAcentral is "partial 16S ribosomal RNA". It matches the Rfam family "Bacterial small subunit ribosomal RNA", at positions 524 to 776 of the family's 1533-position model. The record is from RNAcentral.
UACAGAGGGUGCGAGCGUUGUUCGGAAUUACUGGGCGUAAAGCGCGCGUAGGUGGUCUUUUAAGUCCGACUGUGAAGUCCCGGGGCUCAACCCCGUGGGCUGCAGGGGAUACUGGGAGACUGGAGACACGUAGAGGCAAGCGGAAUUCCGGGUGUAGCGGUGGAAUGCGUAGAGAUCCGGAAGAACACCGGAGGCGAAGGCGGCUUGCUGGGCGUGAUCUGACGCUGAGGCGCGAAAGCGUGGGGAGCGAACAGG